GCCCCCAGUCCAUACAUGGAAGCAUCUGUAUGAACGAGAAAACGUUUGUUAGGGACUGGGGCAGCCAGGACAGGGGCAUUCACAAGAGCUUGCUUCAGGGCCUGAAACGCGGCUUCACAAGCUGGAGACCACAGGACCUGCUUAGGUAAAUUCUUCUUAGUCAGGUCAGUCAAGGGCUUGGCAACCGUACUGUAGUCAGGGACAAAACGUCGGUAAUACCCUGCC
Non-coding RNA from Pelobates cultripes (western spadefoot toad), 225 nucleotides. The record is from the annotation of a GenBank genome assembly. Lineage: Eukaryota; Metazoa; Chordata; Amphibia; Anura; Pelobatidae.